UCAAUCCUACGGGGGGCAGCAGUGAGGAAUAUUGGUCAAUGGACGAGAGUCUGAACCAGCCAAGUAGCGUGAAGGAUGACUGCCCUAUGGGUUGUAAGCUUCUUUUAUAAAGGAAUAAAACGAGGCACGUGUGCCUUUUUGCAUGUACUUUAUGAAUAAGGAUCGGCUAACUCCGUGCCAGCAGCCGCGGUAAUACGGAGGAUCCGAGCGUUAUCCGGAUUUAUUGGGUUUAAAGGGAGCGUAGUUGGGUUGUUUA
This 256-nucleotide ribosomal RNA is filed under the name uncultured bacterium. RNAcentral's name for it is "partial 16S ribosomal RNA". It matches the Rfam family "Bacterial small subunit ribosomal RNA", at positions 333 to 586 of the family's 1533-position model. The record is from RNAcentral.